RNAcentral lists this ribosomal RNA (301 nucleotides) under uncultured bacterium. RNAcentral describes it as "partial 16S ribosomal RNA". It matches the Rfam family "Bacterial small subunit ribosomal RNA", at positions 509 to 807 of the family's 1533-position model. The record is from RNAcentral.
CAGCAGCCGCGGGAAUACGUAGGGUGCGAGCGUUAAUCGGAAUUACUGGGCGUAAAGCGUGCGUAGGCGGUGAGUUAAGUCUGCUGUGAAAUCCCCGGGCUCAACCUGGGAAUGGCAGUGGAUACUGGCUCGCUAGAGUGUGUCAGAGGAUGGUGGAAUUCCCGGUGUAGCGGUGAAAUGCGUAGAGAUCGGGAGGAACAUCAGUGGCGAAGGCGGCCAUCUGGGACAACACUGACGCUGAGGCACGAAAGCGUGGGGAGCAAACAGGAUUAGAUACCCCAGUAGUCCCUGUCUCUUAUAC